Molecule: ribosomal RNA, 447 nt
Filed under: uncultured bacterium
Lineage: Bacteria
Description: SSU rRNA
Rfam family: Bacterial small subunit ribosomal RNA
Source: RNAcentral
AGAGCGAACGCUGGCGGCAGGCCUAACACAUGCAAGUCGAGCGCCCGUAGCAAUACGGGAGCGGCAGACGGGAUAGUAACACGUGGGAACGCGCCCUUCGGUUCGGAAUAACUCAGGGAAACUUGAGCUAAUACCGGAUACGCCCUUACGGGGAAAGAUUUAUUGCCGAAGGAACGGCCCGCGUCCGAUUAGCUAGUUGGUGAGGUAAUGGCUCACCAAGGCGACGAUCGGUAGCUGGUCUGAGAGGAUGACCAGCAUCACUGGGACUGAGACACGGCCCAGACUCCUACGGGAGGCAGCAGUGGGGAAUAUGGACAAUGGGCGCAAGCCUGAUCCAGCCAUGCCGCGUGGAUGAUGAAGGCCUUAGGGUUGUAAAAGUCCUUUUAACGGGAAGAUAAUGACGGUACCCGUAGAAUAAGCCCAGGCUAACUUCGUGCCAGCAGCCGC